UUCAAGCUUCCAUGUUUACGUUGAGUGGUGGAUAACUUUACUAUUUUAAUAUAUCAAAAGUUAGUUUUUCAAAAACGGAAGGUCUGAAUUUAAAUUAUAUUCACCAACACCAACCACUCAUGAACCAUGACUCAUCCUACAUCUACCAACGACAUUAUUUUCAGAUUCAUCCAUAACAAAUGAAUUGUGAAAACAGAUCUCAAAUGAUCUUAAAGAACAAACCACUUAUACAACACCAAAAUGAUAUUAAAUCAUGUAACCAUGGACUAUUCCACUCUGCUUGAUGGAUCUCAGCAUUAAUUGGUCCCAGAGUUAUUAUCUUGCUUCAUUUCGGGAGUCAACUUGAGUGGAUCAAAUUACCAAAGCAUCUAUUAUUCAUCACUUCUCCGAAAGCAUUUUGGGGGUCAUGAUAGUCCGAGCAUUUAGAAAGCAUAAAAGAUUUACCUGAAGAGAACAUGUACAUAAAAGGGUGAAUGCUAAUUUAAGCAUGGAUUUCCACAACUAUAUUUCCAAUGAGUGAUUGCGCUUACGCUUUUAGAAUUGCUUGGAAGUUUGAUUUUCUGCAUUUCCGCCAUGUUCAUGAUCCUCUUACCAAGCAAGAUCAUAAAGCUAGGAUCAAAGUUGGAAAACGGACGAAUACUCAAGCUGGUCCCAGAGUGGCCUAAAAGCGAUAUACCAUUCCACCGUAUAGCCUUGAAGAAUUGUAGCAGAACAAUCACAGGUUCCACCGUUCCAUCCUCAAGGUAUAGGAGUAUUUGAUCAACCAUCUUUCCAAACAAAAUGCAGUCAAUCUUGUUGUGCCUACAAAGAAAUACCAAAUCAGAUGAGAAGUGCAUCCCAAGUGUUUUGCAGAUGGAAAAAAUCACCAAAUAAACUGUAAUCAGAGAAUAGCAAAGGUAAUGAAUGUAGUACAUACUCUAAGUCUUUCAAAACAAUUACCAUUCGUUUAGUCUCUUUUCCCUUAGUGGUAACUGGUAACCAAGUCUCUUGGGUCCUCCUUACCAACCACCUCCUUACCAACCACUUUCGCAAUCACAUCUUAAAAAAAGGAGGAACAUUAAAAUGUACUCUGAACUUCCCAACUGUAUAAAUAGAAGGAUUAUUUGUAUCGAUUAGGAGGGGAACAUAUCAAACAAAUCGUUCCGGUGAAUCUUAUCAGCGUUGAGAAGCUCAACUAUGGUUCUGAAUCUAAAGGCUUCCAAUGGAAAGCUUGGUUCUUAAAUAUGAUUUACUGUUGUCCUAUGUAAAAAUGCUAGUAUCCACUGGCUUGGGAUUGUCUAGGCUAUUCUGGUGUUCUUCACAACAAUAAAAUUGUUCAUGGCAUACAUUUGGAACUGAACAAUCAAACCACUCCACUUUUGGACCAGCGCCUUAGAUAUUGAAGCUAUCAUCCUGUUUU
This is a long non-coding RNA of Arachis duranensis, 1399 nucleotides long. RefSeq lists it as uncharacterized. Lineage: Eukaryota; Viridiplantae; Streptophyta; Magnoliopsida; Fabales; Fabaceae. The record is from RefSeq and is a predicted model, not a curated record. The transcript has 4 exons.